Molecule: long non-coding RNA, 691 nt
Organism: Maniola jurtina (meadow brown)
Lineage: Eukaryota; Metazoa; Arthropoda; Insecta; Lepidoptera; Nymphalidae
Exons: 3
Source: RefSeq, a predicted model, not a curated record
CAAGGGCUAACUUGUAUCUGAUUUAAAAAAAUGUACAUGUACAGGGAUAGCUUGUGUCCCUACUUUUUAUCCCGGUAAAUAAAAAAUCCCAGGGGAUUUUUAAUAACCCAACUCCAUGUGGAUAAAAUUGCUUGCAUCAGCUGGCAUUUUAUUUUUAAAAAAGAAAAAAAAACUUGUCACUACUGUUGAGUCUGUAUCCACCUUUUUUGACCUUUACAACCUUUUUUGUUAAGCCUCGUUUACAAUUAAAAUGUUAUAUAAAUUAUAUAACAACCUUACAAUAUAAUAAUACUACAAUACUACAAUUAGUAAUAUUUUAGAUAAAAUAAUAGUUAUUUAUCAAUGUGACUAAGUAUUUCUAAAUGAAUUUAGAAACGAAAAACUGCUCUCGAAAUGUUUACGGGGAAAAAAAUCCCGUUUUAUUUUCAUCAAACAACACCAUACAAAUAGUUCUAUGACUACUUCGGAACGUAUUUUCACGGAUUUAAAUCGGAUGCAGUUCGUAAUCGCGCUAAAGGUUAAUAAUUACUAUGAAAUAAGUUUAUAUGCAUUUCAACUUGCAUAGUUUUGUAUAAAUCGAUUUAAAAAUCUAAGAAAAAAAUACCCUCAUCUUGUAUUUAAGUAAAAUCAGUCAGCCAUUUUGUCUAAGCUGAUAUCAUAUCUAGCAGCAAGCGUUAUUCAUCACAGAUUC